AACGAACGCUGGCGGCAUGCCUAACACAUGCAAGUCGAACGAGACCUUCGGGUCUAGUGGCGCACGGGUGCGUAACGCGUGGGAACCUGCCCUUAGGUUCGGAAUAACUCCCCGAAAGGGGUGCUAAUACCGGAUAAUGUCUUCGGACCAAAGGUUUAUCGCCUUUGGAUGGGCCCGCGUUGGAUUAGCUAGUUGGUAGGGUAAAAGCCUACCAAGGCGACGAUCCAUAGCUGGUCUGAGAGGAUGAUCAGCCACACUGGGACUGAGACACGGCCCAGACUCCUACGGGAGGCAGCAGUGGGGAAUAUUGGACAAUGGGCGAAAGCCUGAUCCAGCAAUGCCGCGUGAGUGAUGAAGGCCUUAGGGUUGUAAGCUCUUUUACCCGGGAUGAUAAUGACAGUACCGGGAGAAUAAGCGCCGGCUAACUCCGUG
RNAcentral lists this ribosomal RNA (432 nucleotides) under uncultured bacterium. RNAcentral's name for it is "partial 16S ribosomal RNA". It matches the Rfam family "Bacterial small subunit ribosomal RNA", at positions 29 to 507 of the family's 1533-position model. The record is from RNAcentral.